RNAcentral lists this ribosomal RNA (452 nucleotides) under uncultured bacterium. Its description in RNAcentral is "bacterial SSU rRNA". It matches the Rfam family "Bacterial small subunit ribosomal RNA", at positions 8 to 462 of the family's 1533-position model. The record is from RNAcentral.
AGAGUUUGAUCCUGGCUCAGAUUGAACGCUGGCGGCAUGCUUUACACAUGCAAGUCGAACGGCAGCACGGGCUUCGGCCUGGUGGCGAGUGGCGAACGGGUGAGUAAUGCGUCGGAACGCGCCGAGUAGUGGGGGAUAACGCAGCGAAAGCUGUGCUAAUACCGCAUACGUACUGAGGUAGAAAGUGGGGGACCUUCGGGCCUCACGCUAUUCGAGCGGCCGACGUCUGAUUAGCUAGUUGGUGGGGUAAAGGCUCACCAAGGCGACGAUCAGUAGCGGGUCUGAGAGGAUGAUCCGGCACACUGGGACUGAGACACGGCCCAGACUCCUACGGGAGGCAGCAGUGGGGAAUUUUGGACAAUGGGCGCAAGCCUGAUCCAGCCAUGCCGCGUGUCUGAAGAAGGCCUUCGGGUUGUAAAGGACUUUUGUCCGGGAGCAAAGCCUACUUGUUA